This 669-nucleotide unclassified non-coding RNA is filed under the name uncultured Prochlorococcus sp. Its description in RNAcentral is "partial may contain 16S ribosomal RNA, 16S-23S ribosomal RNA intergenic spacer, and 23S ribosomal RNA". The stretch from base 1 to 94 matches the Rfam family "Bacterial small subunit ribosomal RNA", at positions 1440 to 1533 of the family's 1533-position model. Lineage: Bacteria; Bacillati; Cyanobacteriota; Cyanophyceae; Synechococcales; Prochlorococcaceae. The record is from RNAcentral.
CCUGUGGAGGAGGACGCCGAAGGUGGGGCUAAUGACUGGGGUGAAGUCGUAACAAGGUAGCCGUACCGGAAGGUGCGGCUGGAUCACCUCCUAACAGGGAGACAACAAAAUGUUUAAUAUUAUUAUUUUGUCACCUUAGGUCGAUCGGUAUCUCACGUUCUUAAUUCAUUAAGGAUUUCAUUUCCUAAGUUUUUCUAGGUCACACCCAUUAUUUUCCUGGGCCAUUAGCUCAGGUGGUUAGAGCGCACCCCUGAUAAGGGUGAGGUCCCUGGUUCAAGUCCAGGAUGGCCCAUAUCUCUAUGUUGGGGGUAUAGCUCAGUUGGUAGAGCGCCUGCUUUGCAAGCAGGAUGUCAGCGGUUCGAGUCCGCUUACCUCCACUGAUUACCACCUCUUCCAUAAUUUGUAGAAGGGAAUAUUUUGAGUUGUGAUCAAAUUCUGAACGAAUCUAGCUUCCUAAUGAAAUCAUUAAGAUGCUGGACUCAUUGAAUUAAUUUCAUUGUUUUCAGAGAACCUUGACAACUGCAUAGAUUAUUUUUAAAGACAAUAAGCAUCUUUUAAUGAUGCAGAUUUAUUAUUUGUGCGAAUGCAUUAAUAACAAUUCUAUUAAGCUGAUGCUUCAAUUUUGAAGUUAUUGGUCAAGCUACAAAGGGGCUCACGGAGGAUACCUAG